Molecule: ribosomal RNA, 460 nt
Filed under: uncultured bacterium
Lineage: Bacteria
Description: partial 16S ribosomal RNA
Rfam family: Bacterial small subunit ribosomal RNA
Source: RNAcentral
CCUACGGGAGACAGCAGUGAGGAAUAUUGGUCAAUGGACGAAAGCCUGAACCAGCCAAGUCGCGUGCAGGAUGACUGCCCUAUGGGUUGUAAACUUCUUUUAUAUGGGAGUAACAUGCUCUACGUGUAGGAUUUUGCCAGUACCGUAUGAAUAAGGAUCGGCUAACUCCGUGCCAGCAGCCGCGGUAAUACGGAGGGUACGAGCGUUAUCCGGAUUUAUUGGGUUUAAAGGGAGUGUAGGGCGAAUGUUAAGUUUGCUGUGAAAUGUCGGGGCGCAACCCGAGCCUUGCAGUUGAAACUGGCAGGCUUGAGUACAGUAGAGGUAGGCGGAAUUCGUGGUGUAGCGGUGAAAUGCUUAGAUAUAACGAAGAACACCGAUUGCGAAGGCAGCUCACUGGACUGCAACUGACGCUGAGGCUCGAAAGCGUGGGUAGCAAACAGGAUUAGAUACCCCAGUAGUC